AACACAUGCAAGACGAGCGGUAGAGAGAUGCUUGCUUCUCUUGAGAGCGGCGGACGGGUGAGUAAUGCCUAGGAAGCUGCCUGGUAGUGGGGGAUAACGUUCGGAAACGGACGCUAAUACCGCAUACGUCCUACGUGGAGAAAGCAGGGACUUCGGGCCUUGCGCUAUCAGAUGAGCCAAGGUCGAUUAGCUAGUUGGUGAGGUAAUGGCUCACCAAGGCGACGAUCCGUAACUGGACUGAGUGGAUGAUCAGUCACACUGGAACUGAGACACUCCAGACUCCUACGGGACAGCAGUGGGGAAUAUUGGACAAUGGGCGAAAGCCUGAUCCAGCCAUGCCGCGUGUGUGAAGAAGGUCUUCGGAUUGUAAAGCACUUUAAGUUGGGAGGAAGUGGCAGUUACCUAAUACGUAAUUGUUUUGACGUUACCGACAGAAUAAGCACCGGCUAACUCUGUGCCAGCAGCCGCGGUAAUACAGAGGGUGCAAGCGUUAAUCGGAAUUACUGGGCGUAAAGCGCGCGUAGGUGGUUAGUUAAGUUGGAUGUGAAAUCCCAGGGCUCAACCUGGGAACUGGGCAAGCUAGAGUACGAUAGAGGGUGGUGGAAUUUCCUGUGUAGCGGUGAAAUGCGUAGAUAUAGGAAGGAACACCAGUGGCGAAGGCGACCACCUGGACUGAUACUGACACUGAGGUGCGAUAGCGUGGAGAGCAAACAGGAUUAGAUACCCUGGUAGUCCACGCCGUAAACGAUGUCAACUAGCCGUUGGAAUCCUUGAGAUUUUAGUGGCGCAGCUAACGCAUUAAGUUGACCGCCUGGAGAGUACGGCCGCAAGGUUAAAACUCAAAUGAAUUGACGGGGGCCCGCACAAGCGGUGGAGCAUGUGGUUUAAUUCGAAGCAACGCGAAGAACCUUACCAGGCCUUGACAUGCAGAGAACUUUCCAGAGAUGGAUUGGUGCCUUCGGGAACUCUGACACAGGUGCUGCAUGGCUGUCGUCAGCUCGUGUCGUGAGAUGUUGGGAUAAGUCCCGUAACGAGCGCAACCCUUGUCCUUAGUUACCAGCACGUAAUGGUGGGCACUCUAAGGAGACUGCCGGUGACAAACCGGAGGAAGGUGUGGAUGACGUCAAGUCAUCAUGGCCCUUACGGCCUGGGCUACACACGUGCUACAAUGGUCGGUACAGAGGGUUGCCAAGCCGCGAGGUGGAGCUAAUCUCACAAAACCGAUCGUAGUCCGGAUCGCAGUCUGCAACUCGACUGCGUGAAGUCGGAAUCGCUAGUAAUCGCGAAUCAGAA
Molecule: ribosomal RNA, 1293 nt
Filed under: Pseudomonas sp. s5
Lineage: Bacteria; Pseudomonadati; Pseudomonadota; Gammaproteobacteria; Pseudomonadales; Pseudomonadaceae
Description: bacterial SSU rRNA
Rfam family: Bacterial small subunit ribosomal RNA
Source: RNAcentral